UACGGGGGGGGCAAGCGUUGUUCGGAAUUACUGGGCGUAAAGGGCUCGUAGGUGGCCAACUAAGUCAGACGUGAAAUCCCUCGGCUUAACCGGGGAACUGCGUCUGAUACUGGAUGGCUUGAGUUCGGGAGAGGGAUGCGGAAUUCCAGGUGUAGCGGUGAAAUGCGUAGAUAUCUGGAGGAACACCGGUGGCGAAGGCGACAUCCUGGACCGGUAUUGACACUGAGGGACGAAAGCUAGGGGAGCGAAUGGG
RNAcentral lists this ribosomal RNA (253 nucleotides) under uncultured bacterium. RNAcentral describes it as "partial 16S ribosomal RNA". It matches the Rfam family "Bacterial small subunit ribosomal RNA", at positions 524 to 776 of the family's 1533-position model. The record is from RNAcentral.